ACGCGGGUGGCGCUGUGGGUAAAACCUCAGCGCCUAGGACUUGCCGAUCGCAUGGUCGGCGGUUCGAAUCCCCGCGGCGGGGUGCGCUCCCGCUGCUCAGUCCCAGCGCCUGCCAACCUAGCAGUUCGAAAGCACCCCCGGGUGCAAGUAGAUAAAUAGGGACCGCUUACUAGCGGGAAGGUAAACAGCGUUUCCGUGUGCGGCUCUGGCUCGCCAGAGCAGCUUCGUCACGCUGGCCAUGUGACCCGGAAGUGUCUGCGGACAGCGCUGGCUCCCGGCCUAUAGAGUGAGAUGAGCGCACAACCCCAGAGUCUGUCAAGACUGGCCCGUACGGGCAGGGGUACCUUUACCUUUACCUUUACAAUAGUUUUCACUCAGGUCCACGUCAGUUAUUUUAGGCGGGAAACCCUGGGUUGUUGUUGCUACAAUGUUGAAAGCUGGCUGCCUAUAAAAGCAGGCCGGCUGAGCUGUUUGCUGUUCAGUUUCUGUUCCAGCUUACAAAAUAAAGAGCUGCUUGGAGAAA
This is a long non-coding RNA of Podarcis raffonei (Aeolian wall lizard), 523 nucleotides long. RefSeq lists it as uncharacterized. The record is from RefSeq and is a predicted model, not a curated record. NCBI's taxonomy places the organism in Eukaryota, Metazoa, Chordata, Lepidosauria, Squamata, Lacertidae. The transcript has 2 exons.